GAGAGAAACUCCACCUCAAGCAAACAAACAAAAAAACCAAUCUGCGUGGUCUUCCUCAUUUCAUUUCAUCUUUAUUCGUGAGUUUUGCAACUUGAGAUAGGAAAAUAGUAAUCUGUGUGUUUUUCUUUUGGUUAAUGAGACAGCAUUACAUUUUCUGCCUAUAGAAACAGCAAAUGGAAGACCCUGAGACAGGAGACUGCCUGAUACACGCAAGUUCCAGCAAGAGUCCACGGCAGCUAAGUCACAGUGAGCAAGGGGAACAAGGAUGAGAGAUGCAGUCAAAGAGGCCAUCGUGAGGGCUCUUGUCGGUCGGCCAUGGUGCCGGGAGCAAAGAGAUGAUUAAGACACCAUCCCAGGCCUCAAGCCCCACGAAACGCAGGGGAAGCGCCAUGCUAUGCAGCCAGCAAUCGUUUUACCUUUUAAGAGCUCUGAGAGAGACACCCACUGGAAAGGGGUGCAGAGGACCCCAGAGGAUCAACUAACCCAGUGUGGGAGGGUCAGGGAAAGCUUCAUAGAGGCCGUGACCCUUAGGGCAAAUCUUGAGAGGAAGAUGGCCAGGCAGAGGAAAUGGGAAAGUCUGUUCCAGCACCAUAUUUGCUAGAUUCUUGGCACUUUAUGUAUAGCAUCUCCUUUAAUCUUCACAACUACCCUGCUGCACAGCAUUUUAGAGGUGAGGAAACUAAGGCUGAGAGAGAUUAAGUUACUUGCCCAAGGGUACACAGAGACAAAGCCAGGACUAACUCAUAACAAAGUGGGUAGGUUUUGUUUAUUUUGCAUGUCAGAUUGCUUCUAGAAAUAACAGCAGGCUUCCUAUUAAUUCCAGGUGAGGUCCUGCUAUUUUAUAAUUGUGGUUUGUUCUUUCAAUGCCAGGAGCAUGUGGUGUAUGGAUCCCCCCUUACACCAGUACUGUGCACUCCUCCUGAUGAUGGAGAGAUUGGGAGGGACCACCUGGCUAGGAUUGCUGGCUCUCCUGACACCUUCUCGUGGCAUCCAUGUGGUUUAUCCAGUUUUCUGAAAAUGAUACCUGCAAUAUAUCAGACAGAAGCUGAUCCAUUAGCUCAGGUUCGUCAGGUCCAGAGGGAAGAUGACAUGGACGGGAACCACAGCUGACCCAUAAUGGACAUUAAGGUGAGAAAUAAAUCUUUGUUUUUAUAAGCCACUGAGGUUUGUGGAGGUCAUUUUUUACCACAGCGUAACUUAGCCUAAGCUGACAGAUAAAUAAGUUUUAAGAGAGAUAGAAUUCCAUUUACCUGCAUUUAUAUUAUGAAUCCCAGUAAGCUUAGACUAGAUAAUCUAUAAGACAUCUACUUCUUCUAACUUAGAAAAGGAAUUUAUUCAGGGAGAUAUUAAGUAGCUCUUAGAGGCAAGGCUGAAGUUUGGAGUGUGGGCAGGCACCAAAGGGAAUCCACGAGGCUGGAGCUGCAGCCAUGGCCGGAACGUGAAUGACCUGAUUAAGAUGCUGUCACUGUUAGGUACUGGAAACUGCCACUGGCAUUCUGGACACUAGCACCAAUGGUGGUCACUAGAUACUAGAGGGUACCACUACCUGUGCCAGAAUGAACCCUGAACUAAUGCAGCAUCUCUUUGUUGCUUGCCCAAGACUCAGCUCUUCAAAGAGAGUAUCUGAUUGGCUAGUCUUGGGUCUCGUUUCUGUAUUUUUGUUGUCAGGGUACUGGAAGAGCAAGUGUCUCUCCAUUGGGACUUUUAUAAUGAAAAGACUCACAAGAUAGUUGGUUUCUUAAGUGUCGGAAGGACUUUCAGAUGCUAACCAAACCGCAUCCCCUACAAAAGACAAAUAUCCCCCACAAACUUAGAAGAUAAGCAAACUUGACUGGGCGCAGUGGCUCACUCUUAUAAUCCCAGCGCUUUGGGAGGCCGAGGUGGGCAGAUCACCUGAUGUCAGGAGUUCAAGACCAGCCUGGCCAACAU
RNAcentral lists this long non-coding RNA (1929 nucleotides) under Homo sapiens (human). RNAcentral describes it as "HSALNT0407031". Lineage: Eukaryota; Metazoa; Chordata; Mammalia; Primates; Hominidae. The record is from RNAcentral.